Molecule: transfer RNA, 77 nt
Filed under: Akkermansiaceae bacterium
Lineage: Bacteria; Pseudomonadati; Verrucomicrobiota; Verrucomicrobiia; Verrucomicrobiales; Akkermansiaceae
Description: tRNA-Pro
Rfam family: tRNA
About the family: Transfer RNA (tRNA) molecules are approximately 80 nucleotides in length. Their secondary structure includes four short double-helical elements and three loops (D, anti-codon, and T loops).
Source: RNAcentral
CGGGGAGUAGCUCAGCUUGGUAGAGCACUGGUUUUGGGUACCAGACGUCGCAGGUUCGAAUCCUGUCUCCCCGACCA